Cucumis sativus (cucumber) is the source of this 1603-nucleotide long non-coding RNA. RefSeq lists it as uncharacterized. The transcript has 4 exons. The record is from RefSeq and is a predicted model, not a curated record. Lineage: Eukaryota; Viridiplantae; Streptophyta; Magnoliopsida; Cucurbitales; Cucurbitaceae.
UCUGUGAGCCCGUUUGUCUUUUAGAUUUGAGAGGAAUGGAUUGAGCUAUUUAUGCACACUCAGAGCCCAAAUUUGGAUAACCUUAGGAUCAGGUUCCUAAUCAAGAUUCCUAAUCCUUUCUCUUCCUGUCAGUAGGCCGAUAAUCCUUCUCCCUUUACUCUUUGUUACUCACUCCUUCGAUAAUGUUUAUCCCUCUCUUCCAUCACUGUUUCUUACUCUUUCGAUAACCCUUCUCCAAUCCUACUCCGUCUUUCCCAUCCCUUUUUCCCUCUUUCCCUACUCUUCUCCGAAUCCGUUCUCUCAUUCCCUUAUCCGAAUCCGUCAUACGUACGUCCCGAAUGGGUCUUGGAUUCCCUCCUUCAAACUUUCCUUGGUUUCGUUGAAUGUUCGAUUUUUGGAACCUUGUUUCUUUCUUUAAUUCCACGGGCACGAGACUCUUUUCUGUUCAUUUCUGCUCCCGCUUUUCCUUCCUCUCUCACUUGUCAAUUCUUACUUUGAGUUUUCAUUUUUAGGCGGAUUUCGCUGAAGAAUUUGAACCCUUGUUCGAUUACAGCCGCGUUAAGCCUCCCUCCGUUGUUUAUCUCGAUGAUAGAAGUUCUCCGUGAUAUUUGAGUUUGAAGAAAGUUAAAACUUUCUAUUUCAGUGUUUGAUGUGAUUACAAUUCUCUUUUAGCAAAAAAUUUCGAAAUUGGGUUUCCUUGUGCUUGCAGUCUUUCAAACUGAUGGUUAUUCUGUGAUUCUUUUUCCUUUUAUUUGGAGUAACAACAUUAGACGAGGAUUCAGACGCAGACAAAUCUCCGGCGCCUUUUGCAAAGCGAGCAAAGAUUGUGAAUCUGGCGGCUACGAGUUCGGUGAAUGGUAACCCAAAAGAAAAACAAGUGGAAAUUGAACAUAAAGAGGAAGAACGGCUUUCUCCUCCACCGAAAGUGUUAGUUGAUGCAAAGAAUAGGCGUGGGAAAGAUUCCACAUUGAAGAAGUUAAGGUUAAAGAAGCAAGAGUCGGCCUUUGUUGCUUUAUCAACUAAAAACUUCCCGCGAGAAGCAAAGGAAUCUGCAAAAGUGGAUGUAGGAAACACGUCCAAGGACUCUCUGAAACCUGAUUUGGACGUCCAAACUUCUCUUUAUUCUAAAGAAAGAGCAAAAGUUGUAAGAAUUGUUGUUUCUGUACGCAACAGUGACAAGGAAGAGCUCAGAAAGUGUCGCAUGCUUGUGGAUUACAAGUUUGAGCAACUUUUUCAAAUGUACGCAAUCAAACUUAAAGUCGAUCUCAAGAGUCUGGUCUUUGUUUUUGACGGGGAUAAAAUUGGCCCAGAUGAUACCCCAGGUGGCCUUGGCAUGGAAGACGAUGAUAUGAUUGAAGUUCAUAUCAAGUCGAGUUGAGUAAGGUGUCUUUUGAGUGUAUACUUUGUGAAGUACUUCACCAGUUUUGAGGAUGAGAGACUUGGAAAAGGCCAAAUUCAACAUUUUGUAGUUUGCACCUUAAAAGAUGAACAAAUCGCUUAUGAAAGGGUAUGAAAGGGUUCCUUUUGUGGGAUAAAAUUGUUUGGUAAGCACAAGUAGCUACAUUGCAUAAGUAGACAAAUUAAGAAGCAUGACCUGACCUAA